Carassius gibelio (silver crucian carp) is the source of this 1264-nucleotide long non-coding RNA. RefSeq lists it as uncharacterized. The transcript is spliced from 2 exons. NCBI's taxonomy places the organism in Eukaryota, Metazoa, Chordata, Actinopteri, Cypriniformes, Cyprinidae. The record is from RefSeq and is a predicted model, not a curated record.
UAUAUGUUUUGUGAUUUCACAUUAACAUUAUACUAUUAUUUUUAAAUUCAGUAAAUUAAGAAUAUAAUACAAGCACUGUAAAAUGUUUCUUUACUCAAACUCAACUGUUUUAUAUCACUGCUGAUAUAAUGAGCCGUCUUCUAACAUAAGAAACAUAGUAAUGUUAAAAGUGAUGUUAAACUAAGAAAUCUUAAUAUCACAUGAAAGUUUUUUUUUUUUUUUUUUUUGUACUGGCACAACAUUACUGAAAGUUAUCAGAGGAAACACUGUUUUAAAAUGGUCUGUACUGAAGUCACACAUGCAUAUUUAUAGAACUGCGUAUUUAAAGGUAUAUUUUCUGUAAUGCUUGUAGAACAUGCACAUAUCAAGGAAUGUGUCUUUAAUUUUGCAAAGCAGAACCUGUUAAAUAAAUUUUGUUCUUUUUUUAGAAGAAGUCCUUCUGGCAGCUGCCUCCUGAUUGGUCUUCAACACACAGGUCUUGAUACACUGGCAUGUGAUGUUGAUGGCUGGCCACAAGUGUCCGUUGGGGUGCUGACUGUUAUUGAUGAAGAAGAACCUCUCAUUCCAAAUAAACUGUACCUUGACCCAGUGUCUACUGCAGUCAUUGUGGAGGGAGGUAUAGUACUGGAUAAUCUGCAGAAUCUGCCUCAGGCAAUUUGCAUCUUGUUUGGUCUGUCUUAUGCUUUAAAUUUGAAGUACCCAAAAGGCAUUAUCAACACUUUCAACUUCAUUCAGAAAGUGAUGCUUGGUUUGGGACAGAACAAACUGCCACCAAAACUACAAUCUCUGAAAAAUCUCCUGUUGAGCUGAGAUGUAAUCAAAUGUGCAAGAGUGAUGAUAUUUGACAUUUGAUAAAAAAAAAAAAAAAUGUUCUGACAGUGGAAUAAGAGUAGUUGAUAGAAAAAAAAGGAAAACUAAGGCACUUGUUUAAAAUUGUCAGCCCAUUGGUUCUUGAGCAAGUUAAGAGGCUGCCAGUGUAAUCGACGUGUGUCAGAGACAUUGGUUUUGGCACUCGUCAACUUGUUGGUUCUAUCAAAUUUGGUCUCUGAAAUGUUGUUGAUUUAAAGUUGUUAAGAUUCAAGGUAUGGCCCAUUUACUUAUAUAGAUUUUAUAUACAUGUAUUUAGAUUUUUGUAUUGUAAAAUAUUUUUGUUUUAAACAUUUUAAAAACCUGACUAUUUGCAUUUUCUUUUUACCCCAGUGCAAACUUGUGUGUACCAUCCUUGUGUCAGUUGUUAAGAAAAAUAAAUAUAUUUACCUUUGAA